AACGCGAAGAACCUUACCUGGGCUUGAACUACGGAUGGUAAGCCGUUGGAAACAGUGGCUGACCCGCAAGGGAGUCCGCAGAGGUGCUGCAUGGUUGUCGUCAGCUCGUGUCGUGAGAUGUUGGGUUAAGUCCCGCAACGAGCGCAACCCCUAUUCGAUGUUGCUAAUCCCGCAAGGGAUGCACUCUUCGAAAACUGCCUUCGAUAAGAAGGAGGAAGGUGGGGAUGACGUCAAAUCCUCAUGGCCCUUAUGUCCAGGGCUACACACGUGUUACAAUGGCCGGUACAAUGGGAAGCAAUACCGUAAGGUGGAGCCAAACCCACAAAGCCGGCCCCAGUUCAGAUUGUGGGCUGCAACUCGCCCACAUGAAGGCGGAAUCGCUAGUAAUCGCUGAUCAGCAGGCAGCGGUGAAUACGUUCCCGGGCCUUGUACACACCGGUACUA
Molecule: ribosomal RNA, 444 nt
Filed under: uncultured bacterium
Lineage: Bacteria
Description: bacterial SSU rRNA
Rfam family: Bacterial small subunit ribosomal RNA
Source: RNAcentral